AACACGUUCUCGAACGGCCUAAAAAUCCACCCACGACCUUCCUGUGCUCCCCCGUCCUCCUCCUACGCCCCCCACCGAUAGCCUCCUCCCGUGGCCCCGCCGCCGGCCUCCUCCCGUGGCCCCGUCGCCUGCCUCAUCCCGCGGAUGCGCCGGCGGCCUCAUUCCGCCCAAUCCGCCAUGCGUGCAGCCCCCUGUGCCUCCACAAACGCCGUCGCUCAUCGCGGCUGCCAUCCGCCUCCACCAGCACGUCGACCACAACGCCCCCUCUUCCCACGCGCCUCCGCCAUGACCUCUCCUCCCCGAAGCUCCCCGCGCGUGGCCGCCAAGUCCUGUCCUCGACGGAUCCGGCCAACCACUCGCCGCCGGCCGCGGGUCCCACGCACACGCAUCCGGCCGCAGAUCAUUGCCCCCACCACGGCGUUCCCUCUGCACCACCUCGGGUCAUUCCCCUACUACCUCACCGCCACGCGCCGCCGCCGAACCAUCCCGAUCCCCACAGCCUGCCUCACGUCGCCCGCAACCUCCGCGCUAGCCGUCCGCGCCGACCUCCGUAUGCUGCAGCUACCCACUGCUGCCCCGCGCAGUGGCGACCUCGGACCACCAUGCGUAGCCAUGGCUCACUUCCUGGCAGUAGACGUGCAUCUACCACGGCAGUGCUCUGCACAUCCACGGUUGUUGGUAACUAUGCGCCCCUACCUGACCUUCAUUGGGUGCUAGCCGUGGCCUUCAUCGCGUGCGUCAGACCACAGAUCAGAAGUUCAGGUUGUUCUGGUAGCGCGGGCGAACAUGCACCCUCCACUCUGCUGUGCGUGAGAAGGCACAUGGGUAAGUGGCCUAGGUAGAGAUUGAGAUGCACUGAACUUCUUGGACUAGGUCAUGGUGGAGCAGCCCCUGCUCUAGUUCUCUCAUCGGCUCGGCCUGUUCUUGGUGGAAUUGGUCAACAGGGAACAACAGGUCGGCUUGUACGCGGCUAAUGAUAGUCCAGUUACAGGGUAAACAACAGGUCGGCUUGUACACGGCCUACUAAUAGAGUAAAAUUGCUGCUGCUGCGUUAAAGAUGGCCCCAAAUGAAGCACGAUCUAGCCGCUGUACUACUUGUUCUACUGUACAUUGUGCCUUUUGUUUGGUGGAUGAGCUACUGUUUUGCUAGCUUUGGGCAUUGGCUGCUACAUCACAUGGAGCCAUGGAGAAGAAAAAUGGAUAAGAGAGAGAUGAUGCGGUGGUUAGAAAAUACAAAUAGGAGAGGACAAGAGCAACCUUGUGGUGGAAAACACCCAACAUUCGCACCUUAUAUAUAUAUAAGAGCUCCAGAAUUGUGAUUUCGAGAUGGAUCAAAGUUAGGUACACAAAUAUAUGAUGCAUCCA
Molecule: long non-coding RNA, 1365 nt
Organism: Aegilops tauschii subsp. strangulata
Lineage: Eukaryota; Viridiplantae; Streptophyta; Magnoliopsida; Poales; Poaceae
Source: RefSeq, a predicted model, not a curated record